CAGUAGCCGCGGGAACACGUAGGGUGCGAGCGUUAAUCGGAAUUACUGGGUGUAAAGCGUGCGCAGGCGGUUUUGUAAGACAGGCGUGAAAUCCCCGGGCUCAACCUGGGAAUGGCGCUUGUGACUGCAAAGCUAGAGUGCGGCAGAGGGGGAUGGAAUUCCGCGUGUAGCAGUGAAAUGCGUAGAUAUGCGGAGGAACACCGAUGGCGAAGGCAAUCCCCUGGGCCUGCACUGACGCUCAUGCACGAAAGCGUGGGGAGCAAACAGGAUUAGAUACCCCGGUAGUCCCUGUCUCUUAUAC
This 301-nucleotide ribosomal RNA is filed under the name uncultured bacterium. RNAcentral's name for it is "partial 16S ribosomal RNA". It matches the Rfam family "Bacterial small subunit ribosomal RNA", at positions 509 to 807 of the family's 1533-position model. The record is from RNAcentral.